GGCCUCCACGCGCCUCUUUUGCGGCCCCGCGGGCGGGACGGAGGACGGAGCGGGGGGAGGGCCGCCUGGGCCCUGGGCCCACCGGGGCCCGGGGUCCGCGGCUCCUCCUCCCGGGACAAAGCCCGGCCCGCCCGCCGGGCCGUGCGUCGUUCAGGGUCCUCGACACCCCCCCCCCCCCCCCACCUGGCGUUGAAAGCCGCGCUCUGUUGCUUCCGAGUUUCCGGAUCCGCAUCCGGAUCUGCCGGGACCCCCUGGGCCCGGAGGCGGUCGCCGCCCCCGCCUUCCCCGCAGCCCCUUCGCCCGCAGCCCCGCCGCCCGCCCGCACGCAGAGGGCAGUUCCGGCGCGCGAGGCCUCCCCGCCUCCAGGCCUCGGCAGGCAGCGUUCUGAGUGGGGAACAGACGGCAGGAACCGCGCCCGGAGCUGCCGGCCCAGACGGAAGGUCCUCAGAACAAAUCCCAAUCCCAGGAGAGCCAAGGAGGGUGACAGGGACAGGAGAAGUGGUCGGUGGGAUUCUGGAAGUCUCUCGAAGGGCUUACGGCCGCGCCAGAUAGGAGGGCCCUUGCUCACGGCUCCUUCUGAAGGCUCUCUCUCCGCCUUCCGAUCUCCCGCGGCCCCCUCGGUGGCACCUGCUACGCGGGGCUCCUCACAGCAGGCACCGACGCGGGGAGAGCAGAGCGGCUCAGGACGGCUCCGCUGCUGUCGUCCUUCAGGGACCGCGGUCUCCUGGGUGCCGUGGUCCCUCCACCCCCUGGAGGGGUCGUAAGGGUUUGCCGGGGACAGCUGGUCUCUCCUCUGUGGCAUCGGCUUGGGCCUGGAUUCAAAGGCUGGGGGCGGAAUCACCGAGAGGACGGCUCGAUCACACGCUGCUUGUUGGCUGGGACCUCAGCUGCACCUGUGGCCACGCACCUGCACGUGAACCUGCCACGGGGCUGCUGGGAUUUCUCCCCGCCUGGGGCCUGGGCCCCGCGAGCAAGCGUCCUUCCCUGGAGAAUAAAAAUGCUCACGGAAACUUCUGGAAGUCCCCGAAGACCGGCGACGUAUGGUCAACCACGGUCAGGAUCAGAUGGUCCUUCUUCUGACUCAGCCUCAGAAGGUCAACGGUAGCCCAGCGCUCCGUCAGGUACGCACGUCACCUCCCCACGGGGGCAUCUCAUUGUCUCACAUCGUCACAAGAUGGGGGAGGAACACAGGACAAUAAGAUAUUCUGAAAGCGAGAGAGAGAAAGAGAAACCGUUUGCACAUACCUGUUAUUACAAUACAUUGUAAUAAUCGUUCUGUUUGAUCAUUGGUUACUGUUGUUCACCCCUCGCUGUGCUUAGUUUAGAAAUUAAACCUCCUCGGAGGUGUGUGUGUACCAGUCUGGGUGGGGCUCAGAGCCAGCUGCGGUCUCAGGCGUCCCCCGGGGGUGUUGGCAGGCGUGCCCCAAGGAUAAGGGGCCGGGGACGGCUGUCUGCAAAUUCAAAAACCGAAAUGCAAUUGUGCUUUCCAACAAGUGAUGCCAGAACAGCUGGACAUCCGCAUGCAAAAAAGGGGACGCGAGACACAGACCUUCCAGCCUUCACCAAAGCGAACUCUCACGGGAUCCCAGGCCGAAAUGUACAAUAUGGGACUAAAAUUCCCAGAAGUUACCCUUAGGAGCAUGUCUAGCUGACCUUGGGUCUGGGGACGACUUUUUAUUUUAUUUUUUAGUAUUUUUAAAUGUUUUUAAUGUUUGUUUAUUUAUUUAUUUUUGAGAGUGAGAGACAGAGUGUGAGCGGGGGAGGGGCCGAGAGAGAGGGGGACACAGAAUCCGA
Molecule: long non-coding RNA, 1794 nt
Organism: Prionailurus viverrinus (fishing cat)
Lineage: Eukaryota; Metazoa; Chordata; Mammalia; Carnivora; Felidae
Exons: 6
Source: RefSeq, a predicted model, not a curated record